This 24-nucleotide non-coding RNA is filed under the name Arabidopsis thaliana (thale cress). Lineage: Eukaryota; Viridiplantae; Streptophyta; Magnoliopsida; Brassicales; Brassicaceae. The record is from RNAcentral. RNAcentral also lists the same sequence under 2 other names.
GCACCAGUGGUCUAGUGGUAGAAU